Molecule: ribosomal RNA, 464 nt
Filed under: uncultured bacterium
Lineage: Bacteria
Description: partial 16S ribosomal RNA
Rfam family: Bacterial small subunit ribosomal RNA
Source: RNAcentral
GAUGAACGCUGGCGGCGUGCUUAACACAUGCAAGUCGAACGGAAAGGCCCAAGCUUGCUUGGGUACUCGAGUGGCGAACGGGUGAGUAACACGUGGGUGAUCUGCCCUGCACUUCGGGAUAAGCCUGGGAAACUGGGUCUAUACCGGAUAGGACCCCCUUUUGGAUGGGGCGGUGGGAAGUUUUUUGGUGUGGGAUGAGGUCGCGGCCCUACCGCUUGUUGGUGGGGUAAUGGCCUACCAAGGCGUCGACGGGUAGCCGGCCUGAGAGGGUGUACGGCCACAUUGGGACUGAGAUACGGCCCAGACUCCUACGGGAGGCAGCAGUGGGGAAUAUUGCACAAUGGGCGCAAGCCUGAUGCAGCGACGCCGCGUGGGGGAUGACGGCCUUCGGGUUGUAAACUCCUUUCGCUAGGGACGAAGCGCAAGUGACGGUACCUGGAGAAGAAGCACCGGCUAACUACGUG